Molecule: long non-coding RNA, 2530 nt
Organism: Oreochromis aureus
Lineage: Eukaryota; Metazoa; Chordata; Actinopteri; Cichliformes; Cichlidae
Source: Ensembl
CGGCGACCCACUUCCGGUCGCUUAGCGGCUAGUAACUGAAUUAAAAGUUCGUUUUCGGCGGCUGGUUUAUCCUAUGCCAGCGCCCUAAUAGUCCCAGCAAAGAAAUCCACACACAGUCUCUCACGUACGAGGGCUCAACGGUGUUUUGAGAGCGAAGUCACGUCGAUCGGCCGUGACAAUCGGCCGGGCUCCGUCUAAUCGCUGGAUUCUCCGUAGUCGACACAGACCCUCCUCCGCUUCUCCGUCGCGGGGACUGGCUAAGUGUUGAUUACUGCUCGGACAUCUGAUUACUGCUUUUUAUAAGCUGUAUUGCACAAGCGUAAGCUAACACCAGUACAGUAACUGUGCCUUUACAGAAGCCAGAAACUCACCAGCUCGGCUUCAUCAGUCAUAACAACAAUAUCAAUGAAAAGAAGAUCCGGCAGCACUCCUAAUCGUGUUUUUGUGUGUAAAGAAGAAGAUUAAGAAUGUGCAACAAGAUAAGGGCAUGUACAACCAAGAAGGAGGGAGUUCUUCAUGCAAGGCUGAGCCCACUUGUCCCCAGUCAGAUAAUAUAGUAGUGGCAGACGCAGGCGACAAUGCAGAUAUUGGAGACUGUCCUAGUAAUGACAUAUGAUGUGUCUACCAUGCUGUAAAAUGCUGAUGGGGUAUUGUCACCAAGCCGCAGGCUAUGCAGGCAGACGGGAGGCGUGGACACCCAAGUUAUGUGAAUGCAGUCCAGCUGUUAAGUGAUGACAUAUACACCAUGCUACUGGAUCCCAACUACACUGUGUUCUUUAAGGCUGUUGUCUUUUUAAUGUGUUUUAAUGCUUCGUGUCUCGUUCUAUUUAAUCUGAAAUAGCCCCUAAAAAUAGUCUGGCCUCUCUGGGUUUAUAUUAGCACUAUUCUGCAGCACGUUUUAAAGCUCAGUUUUAAAACCUUACGAUGUAGCUACAGCCCAUCGACUCAGGAUUUGCCAGACAUAUUUUAACAAUAUUUUAACUGGUGAGAAAAUACACUCUGAGGCUUAUAAAGAUUUAAAUGGGUAUAUGAAGCUCAGGAUCAGGAAUUUUUGAUAGCGAAGAAUCCAAAGGAUAUUAAUGUGUAUAUAUUCAUCCAUCCACUUCCGCUUAUCCUUUUCAGGGUCACGGGGGGCACUGGAGCCUGUCCCAGGGCAAGAGGCAGGGUACACCCUGGACAGGUCGCCAGUCUGUCAGAGACAGACAACCAUUCGCACUCACAUUCACACCUAUGGGCAAUUUGGAUUAAUCAAUUAACCUGUCCCCACAAACUGCAUGAUGGUGAAAUCGAACUCAGGACCUUCUUACUGUGCAGUAACAGUGCUAACCACCGUGCCACCGUGCUGCCAGUAACGUGUAUAUAUUCGUAGUAUAUUAGGGACUAACCUUGUACUAGGGAUGGAUCAUCUCAAAUCUUCUCUUGACCGAAGUUUGUUUUCAGCAUCUUUUUCUUGCCAUGCGAUUGCAUUUGUCUCUGUCCAUCAGGAACCAUCACGCUAACUUUUAUUGAGGAGAAAUAAGUUAGAGUUCAUCCUCCCGCUUCACUGUGUGAAUAUGCUUGUAUUAUCCUAACCAUACCGCCAUAACUAGCCACCAAGUAGCACAUUAUUGUAUCCCAGCUAGCCCAACUUUAGAAACCAUUGUUGCUGUUUAGUUUUCUGCCUUCAUUUAUGUCCGAAGUGACAGCAGAACUGUACGUUUGAAUUUUUCAGAAAUUUAUAACGCCGUUAGGCUUCAUAAACACUGUUUUCAUGGCCGUCUAAAUGCUAAACUUUGUUACACCUGGUAGAGUGGCAACACUGAUAAUUUUAUUAAAAAUGAAAGAUACAGACAGUUUUUAACUCUCUUUUGUUUGUGAACUCAAGAAGUGUUUAGACCCGGAAACGGCUAAAGUCGUCAGACUAAAGAGGCAAAUGAGGUUUCAAAUUGAUACCAUAGGUGCAACUGCUAAAAAUCUCAGACAAAGUUCAUUCCUAGUUAUCUUGACCUUCAGGUCAGAUGUCAAGGUUUCUGAAAAUCUUGUGACUGUGACAACUUGAGAAGAAGAUGACGUACGGCAUACUUUUUGGUAUUUUUAAAAAUUACACGUAUAAUGCUGUUUAAGUGCUUUUGUCCAGAAAGUAACAAAAACUUAAUAAUGAGAUUUCUACUUCUUUUGCAGACUGGAGUGUGAAAAGCAAGGGUCUUUAGGUUGUUGGUUUGUUUUGGUUUUUUUUAUCAGCUUUGAAGCUUCUUUUUUUUUUUUUUUUUUUACAAAUCCACUUUUUCCAGCUUUUUUUUAAAUAUGUUAAGAAUUCUGUUUUGUUUUUUUGUUUUUGUUAAAAUCUUUUUUAAGAGAACAUAAGUCUUGUAAUUACUGACAAUGUAUUUUUAUUAUAUGCCUGUAUUAUUGAGACCAUGUAUGUAUCAAGAUCACUUCAACAAUAUUUUUCGAUAACAUGUAAAGUGUGAAACUGUCAGCUAUGUCCAAUAAAUUGUGUCUUUAACGAUGCAUAACUAUAAUAAUAAUUUAUAAUAAAGAGAAACAGGAA